This 813-nucleotide ribosomal RNA is filed under the name uncultured bacterium. RNAcentral describes it as "bacterial SSU rRNA". It matches the Rfam family "Bacterial small subunit ribosomal RNA", at positions 100 to 926 of the family's 1533-position model. The record is from RNAcentral.
GAACGGGUGAGUAACACGUGGGUGAUCUGCCCUGCACUUUGGGAUAAGCCUGGGAAACUGGGUCUAAUACCGAAUAGGACCACGCGCUUCAUGGUGUGUGGUGGAAAGCUUUUGCGGUGUGGGAUGGGCCCGCGGCCUAUCAGCUUGUUGGUGGGGUAAUGGCCUACCAAGGCGACGACGGGUAGCCGGCCUGAGAGGGUGACCGGCCACACUGGGACUGAGAUACGGCCCAGACUCCUACGGGAGGCAGCAGUGGGGAAUAUUGCACAAUGGGCGCAAGCCUGAUGCAGCGACGCCGCGUGAGGGAUGACGGCCUUCGGGUUGUAAACCUCUUUCAAUAGGGACGAAGCGCAAGUGACGGUACCUAUAGAAGAAGCACCGGCCAACUACGUGCCAGCAGCCGCGGUAAUACGUAGGGUGCGAGCGUUGUCCGGAAUUACUGGGCGUAAAGAGCUCGUAGGUGGUUUGUCGCGUUGUUCGUGAAAACUCACAGCUUAACUGUGGGCGUGCGGGCGAUACGGGCAGACUAGAGUACUGCAGGGGAGACUGGAAUUCCUGGUGUAGCGGUGGAAUGCGCAGAUAUCAGGAGGAACACCGGUGGCGAAGGCGGGUCUCUGGGCAGUAACUGACGCUGAGGAGCGAAAGCGUGGGGAGCGAACAGGAUUAGAUACCCUGGUAGUCCACGCCGUANACGGUGGGUACUAGGUGUGGGUUCCUUCCUUGGGAUCCGUGCCGUAGCUAACGCAUUAAGUACCCCGCCUGGGGAGUACGGCCGCAAGGCUAAAACUCAAAGGAAUUGACGGGGGCCCGCAC